UACGGAGGAUGCAAGCGUUAUCCGGAAUGAUUGGGCGUAAAGGGUCCGCAGGUGGCAGUGUAAGUCUGCUGUCAAAGAAUGAGGCUUAACCUUAUCAAGGCAGUGGAAACUACACAGCUAGAGUACGGUCGGGGUAGAAGGAAUUCCUGGUGUAGCGGUGAAAUGCGUAGAGAUCAGGAAGAACACCGGUGGCGAAAGCGUUCUGCUAGACCUGUACUGACACUGAGGGACGAAAGCUAGGGGAGCAAACAGG
RNAcentral lists this ribosomal RNA (253 nucleotides) under uncultured bacterium. Its description in RNAcentral is "partial 16S ribosomal RNA". It matches the Rfam family "Bacterial small subunit ribosomal RNA", at positions 524 to 776 of the family's 1533-position model. The record is from RNAcentral.